Molecule: long non-coding RNA, 613 nt
Organism: Lates calcarifer (barramundi perch)
Lineage: Eukaryota; Metazoa; Chordata; Actinopteri; Centropomidae
Exons: 3
Source: RefSeq, a predicted model, not a curated record
CCUGCAGGUCCCCAGACUCCACCUAGAAACAAGAAGUAGUUCCACUUCGCCUUGCAGCCUGCAGAGCUGAGGGAGAGACGCUCCAGCUGCAGGUGUAGCCCUCAAGAGGACAUGGCCUUUGGGCAUCUCAUCCCUCAGCUGAGACUGGAGGAGCCAGCGGAGGACAGGGUGUUCAGGAGCAUCGCCUUCCGUCCUUUCCAACAUGGACACCACCAACGUGGGAAGUCAACUUCUCCUUGCAGUGAUAGAAAGCGACACGACGUCCUACAUGAAUGCUGCAACAGUGGAUCCAGUAUGUGUAUAAGGAUUCUAAUGAGGACUCAGUCAAAACUGUGACAGGGAAAUGAGGCAGAUCCAAGCCUUGGUCGCGGAAUUGAUCUUUUCUUUUAUCCCUGCGAAAUCUUAUGCAGCAGCUCCCUCUGAUAAUCCACGAACACAGCUAAGAUCAAAGCCACAGCGUAGAGCAUUUUAAAUCUGGGUUUAAGAAAUAGGCUCCCCUGUCCUGGUCUAUUUUGGCAAGCAAAACUAUUAAAUGGGUGAUUGUUGACAAUAGAGACACGAAACGCUGUUGAAUUGCCUACAUUCUCAUUAAAAUGUUUUACUUGAAUGCAAA